GUCUACAGUCAUACCAUCCUGAAUGUGCCCAAUCUCAUCUGAUCUCGGAAACUAAGCAGAGUCGGGUCUGGUGAGUACUUAGGAGAAAUUGUGAAUAAACUUCACAAUUGGAGAAC
RNAcentral lists this ribosomal RNA (116 nucleotides) under Rhinopithecus bieti (black snub-nosed monkey). Lineage: Eukaryota; Metazoa; Chordata; Mammalia; Primates; Cercopithecidae. The record is from RNAcentral.